GGGCCCGUAGCUCAGCCAGGUAGAGGUUAAUAACGCCUAAAGCGAUGGGCUUUUAACCCAGAGGUCAGGGACGCCCCUCAAGUGGGUUCGAAGCCCACCGGGCCCG
RNAcentral lists this transfer RNA (106 nucleotides) under Thermoprotei archaeon. RNAcentral describes it as "tRNA-Lys". It matches the Rfam family "tRNA". Rfam says of the family: Transfer RNA (tRNA) molecules are approximately 80 nucleotides in length. The record is from RNAcentral. Lineage: Archaea; Thermoproteati; Thermoproteota; Thermoprotei.